GUAGGUGGCAAGCGUUGUCCGGAAUUAUUGGGCGUAAAGCGCGCGCAGGCGGUUCUUUAAGUCUGAUGUGAAAGCCCACGGGCUCAACCGUGGAGGGUCAUUGGAAACUGGAGAACUUGAGUACAGAAGAGGAAAGCGGAAUUCCACGUGUAGCGGCGAAAUGCGUAGAGAUGUGGAGGAACACCAGUGGCGAAGGCGGCUUUCUGGUCUGUAACUGACGCUGAGGCGCGAAAGCGUGGGGAGCAAACAGGAUUAGAUACCCUGGUAGUCCACGCCGUAAACGAUGAGUGCUAAGUGUUAGGGGGUUUCCGCCCCUUAGUGCUGCAGCUAACGCAUUAAGCACUCCGCCUGGGGAGUACGGCCGCAAGGCUG
This 372-nucleotide ribosomal RNA is filed under the name uncultured organism. RNAcentral's name for it is "partial 16S ribosomal RNA". It matches the Rfam family "Bacterial small subunit ribosomal RNA", at positions 527 to 896 of the family's 1533-position model. The record is from RNAcentral.